RNAcentral lists this ribosomal RNA (429 nucleotides) under Chloroflexota bacterium. RNAcentral's name for it is "Chloroflexi bacterium partial 16S ribosomal RNA". It matches the Rfam family "Bacterial small subunit ribosomal RNA", at positions 355 to 776 of the family's 1533-position model. Lineage: Bacteria; Bacillati; Chloroflexota. The record is from RNAcentral. RNAcentral also lists the same sequence under 1 other name.
UAGGGAAUCUUCGGCAAUGGACGAAAGUCUGACCGAGCAACGCCGCGUGAGUGAAGAAGGUUUUCGGAUCGUAAAACUCUGUUGUUAGAGAAGAACAAGGACGUUAGUAACUGAACGUCCCCUGACGGUAUCUAACCAGAAAGCCACGGCUAACUACGUGCCAGCAGCCGCGGUAAUACGUAGGUGGCAAGCGUUGUCCGGAUUUAUUGGGCGUAAAGCGAGCGCAGGCGGUUUCUUAAGUCUGAUGUGAAAGCCCCCGGCUCAACCGGGGAGGGUCAUUGGAAACUGGGAGACUUGAGGGCAGAAGAGGAGAGUGGAAUUCCAUGUGUAGCGGUGAAAUGCGUAGAUAUAUGGAGGAACACCAGUGGCGAAGGCGGCUCUCUGGUCUGUAACUGACGCUGAGGCUCGAAAGCGUGGGGAGCAAACAGG